Non-coding RNA from Mycena alexandri, 109 nucleotides. The record is from the annotation of a GenBank genome assembly. Lineage: Eukaryota; Fungi; Basidiomycota; Agaricomycetes; Agaricales; Mycenaceae.
AGCAGCAUGGCGCAGAUGGAAGCGCGCGGGGCCCAUAUUUGUCUGAUGAUUUACUCGUUGAGUAAUCUACGCAACCCCGAGGUCACUCGAUCGAAACGAGUUGCUGCUA